Suricata suricatta (meerkat) is the source of this 523-nucleotide long non-coding RNA. RefSeq lists it as uncharacterized. The record is from RefSeq and is a predicted model, not a curated record. Lineage: Eukaryota; Metazoa; Chordata; Mammalia; Carnivora; Herpestidae. The transcript is spliced from 3 exons.
AAUUCUUCAGGCAGACAUCACCACUGAGAAAAGAUAUGGGUACUGUAUCCAGCAGGAUUCCAAACAAUGCCUUAAGGCUGGAAGUGUGGAGGGAGGGAGCAGGAACUUAAAUGGUCCUCAGGCUCCGAUAUCCUACCUGUCUGUGCCAGGCACUGAGAAUACAGAGAUGAGCAAAAGAGACACGGACCGCUCUGUGGAGAACCUGAAUGUUUACACGAAGGACACACAGAAGCAGACAAACCCUACAAGAUGGUGAAAUGAGUGCAGAGAGAAGUAUUUAACUCAUUCGUUCAUUAAAGGAAGCAAAUAUAUUCCCAGUAUCUACAUAUCCUCAGUAUCAGACCCUGAGCCUGAGCUAAAGAGGCGAAUGAGGAAGCAGCCAGCUAGAGGGAAGGGCAGAGAGAAGCCCCAAACACUCAGGGGACAUCAUCCGCUCAAAACCCAUCAGCGUCUUUGGAGAGGUUUGUACUGUUUUUAUAUUCUUUUUAUUUUAUCAUUUAAAAGUCGGGUUAUGGGGCGCCUG